This 26-nucleotide small RNA is filed under the name Bombyx mori (domestic silkworm). RNAcentral's name for it is "ovarian small RNA-28614". Lineage: Eukaryota; Metazoa; Arthropoda; Insecta; Lepidoptera; Bombycidae. The record is from RNAcentral.
UCGCAGUUGCCAAAAGAAGGUCGUGC